AGAGUUUGAUCAUGGCUCAGAACGAACGUUGGCGGCGUGGAUUAGGCAUGCAAGUCGAACGAAUCCCGGUGGGGGUAACUCUGCCGGGGGAAGUGGCGAAAGGGGCAGUAAGGCAUGGGUAACCUGCCCGGGGGACGGGGAUAGCCCUCCUAACGGAGGGGUAAUACCCGGCGACGUGCCGAGGGGGCAUCUCCCUGGCACCAAAGGAGUUUCGCCCCCGGAGGGGCUCAUGUGGUAUUAGCUGGUUGGUGAGGUAACGGCUCACCAAGGCUGAGAUGCCUAGCAGGUGUGAGAGCACGACCUGCGCCACUGACACUGGGACACUGGCCAGACUCCUACGGGAGGCUGCAGUCGAGGAUCUUCGGCAAUGGGCGCAAGCCUGACCGAGCGACGCCGCGUGUGCGACGAAGGCCUUCGGGUUGUAAAGCACUGUCGAGGGGAAGAAAAGCCGCAAGGCCUGAUCGACCCCUGGAGGAAGCACGGGCUAAGUUCGUGCCAGCAGCCGCGGUAAGACGAACCGUGCGAACGUUGUUCGGAUUCACUGGGCUUAAAGGGCGCGUAGGCGGACCAUCAAGUCAGGGGUGAAAGCCCCCGGCCCAACCGGGGAAGUGCCUCUGAUACUGACGGUCUCGAGCGGGAUAGGGGCAGCUGGAACUUCCGGUGGAGCGGUGAAAUGCGUAGAUAUCGGAAGGAACGCCGGUGGCGAAAGCGAGCUGCUGGAUCCCUCCUGACGCUGAGGCGCGAAAGCCAGGGGAGCGAACGGGAUUAGAUACCCCAGUAGUCC
Molecule: ribosomal RNA, 784 nt
Filed under: uncultured bacterium
Lineage: Bacteria
Description: bacterial SSU rRNA
Rfam family: Bacterial small subunit ribosomal RNA
Source: RNAcentral